CUGGCUGGCUCUUUUGACCCCUUGGCCUUUCAAGGCUUAGGAGCACUACACUAACUCCUACAGAAAUCGAAAGCUCCAUACCCCUACUCUGAGAAGUGUGAGCGUUGGAAGUCGGUCCAAUGCAAGCUUUUAGAGAAAGGGCCUCACUCUGGGGUUGGCGGUCACUCUUCAAAUCGAAGUAGCCUCGAUCCUCCUAUCCGUCGUCGGCCUGUACAUCUUGAAUAGGUCCCUUAUGAGAACCUUAGGGCAAUAUGAUCGACUCCACACCUUCAAAUCCUGAUUGCGAUAGAUUGAAAUUGGAGUGGCGAUGAUCCCUUCAGCGAGCGGACCCCCAAAGAAAUGGAUAAUAACCUGGGCUCUCUAGCCCCUACCAUUGGUAGUGAACAAGUCACAGACAUGUAGAUAGUCAUCCACCUCGCUAUGACGUAGGUUGGCCAGUAGGAAAGAGACAGGCUAGAGGCCCAUGAUUUGAUCGAUGCCAAAACUGCAGGCCUAUGAGCACAAAUCUCUUUCUAGAUGAAGAAAUAAACAUGGAUAGCCUGUGUCAAGGACCCCUAACUCUACGCCCCAUAUCAAGCCAUCAUCAUCCUGCUCCAUAAACAAUCAGAUUGGAUAAGAAAUCUGACAGCAUGUCUAAUGAUCAUAGCCUUCGUCCUGACCAAUAGGGACUAAAUCCCAAGACCCCCGUCCCUCAUAGGCUUGCAGACCACCUCC
This 714-nucleotide long non-coding RNA is filed under the name Elaeis guineensis (African oil palm). Its description in RNAcentral is "long non-coding RNA (EGUI_LNC050927)". The record is from RNAcentral. Lineage: Eukaryota; Viridiplantae; Streptophyta; Magnoliopsida; Arecales; Arecaceae.